Molecule: long non-coding RNA, 967 nt
Filed under: Homo sapiens (human)
Lineage: Eukaryota; Metazoa; Chordata; Mammalia; Primates; Hominidae
Description: HSALNT0101891
Source: RNAcentral
AUUUACUGCUGGCAUGAUGUUUAAACAAGACAUUUAGGUUCUCUGUGCUUUGGCGUAGUCAUCUGUCAUGGGAAUAAUAUUUACCUUGUGAGAAUUCAAUGAGAUAAGCCACAUAGAGCUCAGUGCCUAGCACAUAAUGAAUACUGAUAAAUGCAUGCUAUUAUUAGCACAGCAGGUUUACAGUUUAUAAACCACACUGACAUCAUUUCCUCCCACGUUUUCCAUGUAACACAUCUAUGAGAUAAGUAGGAUGGAUCGGAUUCUGUUUUAACAGACAAAGAAUCUGAAGCGGUUGAGUCAUCCAAGAUCAGGAAUUGCUCAUUACCCUGGUCUGCCUUCAGCAAGAAUCCUAUUAGCAGAGAACAAAAUACAUCCCAUGGAUCGCAUACUGGCAAUUGGAUGCUGUAGCCCAGGAGUGACACACAUCAUUUCCUCUUCCAACUCACUGGCCAGAACUAGUCACACAACCCUGCCCAACCACAGGACAGCAAGGAAAUGCAAUGGGAUCAUGUGCCUGGAAUGAGAGAAGUGGAACGGCACUAAGGACUACCAAAGUUUAUUAAGUAUUGAAGCUGCUAAAUAAGGCUAUUCAACAGGGGAGGGGAAAUGAGGGGUGGCAAGUAAACAGGUGAAAGAGUUUUGUUGUUGUUGUUAGCAUUUGGAUUUUCUUAAACUUUGAAAGAUUGAAGUAUGACCAUAGAGAUAAGUGUGCAAAUCAUAAAUGUACAGCUCAAUGAAUUAUCAGAAAGUGAACUCAUUUGUAAAAUUACCACCUAGAUCAAGAAAUAAAAUAUUACCAGUUCCCUAGAAACCCACGUUGUGACCCCUCCAAUUUCUACUUCUGUUCUUCCUCCCAAAGUUAUCCUAUAGACUGAAAAUUUAAAAGAAAUACACAUUUUCACACUCAUCAUGAAGGAAGUAGAAAGUAUCAUUCCUUUGGGGUUUCUCUAAACCUUGGGGAGAAUGA